AGUACAGAGGGNAAAACCGUGAGGUUGAGGAAAUCCCUAAAGCUNGUCUCAGUUCGGAUUGGAGUCUGCAACUCGACUCCAUGAAGCUGGAAUCGCUAGUAAUCGCGGAUCAGGNCGCCGCGGUGAAUACGUUCCCGGGCCUUG
This 144-nucleotide ribosomal RNA is filed under the name uncultured bacterium. Its description in RNAcentral is "16S ribosomal RNA". It matches the Rfam family "Bacterial small subunit ribosomal RNA", at positions 1236 to 1383 of the family's 1533-position model. The record is from RNAcentral.